AUGUGCUGAGAUGAUGAAAGCUAUGUUGGUAGGGACAUCUGAGAAUAGUGAUGAAUACCAACGUCUCUGAGCGGCACCU
This is a small nucleolar RNA of Rana temporaria (common frog), 79 nucleotides long. RefSeq annotates it as small nucleolar RNA SNORD74. The transcript has a single exon. The record is from RefSeq and is a predicted model, not a curated record. Lineage: Eukaryota; Metazoa; Chordata; Amphibia; Anura; Ranidae.